This 433-nucleotide ribosomal RNA is filed under the name uncultured bacterium. RNAcentral's name for it is "partial 16S ribosomal RNA". It matches the Rfam family "Bacterial small subunit ribosomal RNA", at positions 29 to 507 of the family's 1533-position model. The record is from RNAcentral.
AACGAACGCUGGCGGCAUGCCUAACACAUGCAAGUCGAACGAGACCUUCGGGUCUAGUGGCGCACGGGUGCGUAACGCGUGGGAACCUGCCCUUAGGUUCGGAAUAACUCCCCGAAAGGGGUGCUAAUACCGGAUAAUGUCUUCGGACCAAAGAUUUAUCGCCUUUGGAUGGGCCCGCGUUGGAUUAGCUAGUUGGUAGGGUAAAAGCCUACCAAGGCGACGAUCCAUAGCUGGUCUGAGAGGAAGAUCAGCCACACUGGGACUGAGACACGGCCCAGACUCCUACGGGAGGCAGCAGUGGAGAAUAUUGGACAAUGGGCGAAAGCCUGAUCCAGCAAUGCCGCGUGAGUGAUGAAGGCCUUAGGGUUGUAAAGCUCUUUUACCCGGGAUGAUAAUGACAGUACCGGGAGAAUAAGCGCCGGCUAACUCCGUG